This 497-nucleotide ribosomal RNA is filed under the name uncultured bacterium. Its description in RNAcentral is "partial 16S ribosomal RNA". It matches the Rfam family "Bacterial small subunit ribosomal RNA", at positions 28 to 507 of the family's 1533-position model. The record is from RNAcentral.
GACGAACGCUGGCGGCGUGCCUAAUACAUGCAAGUUGAGCGCUGAAGGUUGGUACUUGUACCAACUGGAUGAGCAGCGAACGGGUGAGUAACGCGUGGGGAAUCUGCCUUUGAGCGGGGGACAACAUUUGGAAACGAAUGCUAAUACCGCAUAAAAACUUUAAAAACAAGUUUUAAGUUUGAAAGAUGCAAUUGAAUCACUCAAAGAUGAUCCCGCGUUGUAUUAGCUAGUUGGUGAGGUAAAGGCUCACCAAGGCGAUGAUACAUAGCCGACCUGAGAGGGUGAUCGGCCACAUUGGGACUGAGACACGGCCCAAACUCCUACGGGAGGCAGCAGUAGGGAAUCUUCGGCAAUGGACGAAAGUCUGACCGAGCAACGCCGCGUGAGUGAAGAAGGUUUUCGGAUCGUAAAACUCUGUUGGUAGAGAAGAACGUUGGUGAGAGUGGAAAGCUCAUCAAGUGACGGUAACUACCCAGAAAGGGACGGCUAACUACGUG